RNAcentral lists this ribosomal RNA (647 nucleotides) under Pseudomonas sp. TAD056. Its description in RNAcentral is "bacterial SSU rRNA". It matches the Rfam family "Bacterial small subunit ribosomal RNA", at positions 56 to 699 of the family's 1533-position model. The record is from RNAcentral. Lineage: Bacteria; Pseudomonadati; Pseudomonadota; Gammaproteobacteria; Pseudomonadales; Pseudomonadaceae.
UGCAGUCGAGCGGUAGAGAGGUGCUUGCACCUCUUGAGAGCGGCGGACGGGUGAGUAAUGCCUAGGAAUCUGCCUGGUAGUGGGGGAUAACGCUCGGAAACGGACGCUAAUACCGCAUACGUCCUACGGGAGAAAGCAGGGGACCUUCGGGCCUUGCGCUAUCAGAUGAGCCUAGGUCGGAUUAGCUAGUUGGUGGGGUAAUGGCUCACCAAGGCGACGAUCCGUAACUGGUCUGAGAGGAUGAUCAGUCACACUGGAACUGAGACACGGUCCAGACUCCUACGGGAGGCAGCAGUGGGGAAUAUUGGACAAUGGGCGAAAGCCUGAUCCAGCCAUGCCGCGUGUGUGAAGAAGGUCUUCGGAUUGUAAAGCACUUUAAGUUGGGAGGAAGGGCAUUAACCUAAUACGUUAGUGUUUUGACGUUACCGACAGAAUAAGCACCGGCUAACUCUGUGCCAGCAGCCGCGGUAAUACAGAGGGUGCAAGCGUUAAUCGGAAUUACUGGGCGUAAAGCGCGCGUAGGUGGUUCGUUAAGUUGGAUGUGAAAUCCCCGGGCUCAACCUGGGAACUGCAUUCAAAACUGUCGAGCUAGAGUAUGGUAGAGGGUGGUGGAAUUUCCUGUGUAGCGGUGAAAUGCGUAGAUAUAG